AGUCACCACUUAUAAGCACAUACCUCAGUUCAGUUUUCACCUGGCCUUGAAUAAGGACAUGGACUCAACUCUCUACGGUACUUUUUAUCUCCCAAUGAAAAACUCUGCCGGCUGACCCAGAAUAUUUGUCUAUACUGUGGGGCAAGUGGGCAUUUAAUUGCUGUCUCUUCCAUCCGUCCAUCACAUUCAAUGGUUCUGCCCUCCGACUCUGGGUCAGCCGGCAACUUCAUCUCUGGAAGUCUCUGCAGGCAACUCCAACUCCAGAAAGUCACAACUAAAACCCAGUACAAGAUACAGUCAGUGACUGGUAGAGCCCUAGGCAGAGGUUACAUCUGCUAUCAAGUAAAACCUGUGAUCCUAAGAGUGGACUGCAUGCAUGAAGAAUCUUUUGCAUCUCUGGUGCAAAAAGCACCUCAUGGCUCAUACAUCAACCGGUGCUAUCCUGGAGAACAGGUGAUGUUCUGCAAUGGGGCCAAUGCUGCUUCCCUGAUUGUUUUCUUCAAUUCCCUCGAUCUCUUCCAAGACAACUUCCAGUAAUUCCAAUAAAUUCCACCUCUACUGAGAGCCCUAUCUCUCUGUGGAUAUCCUAGCUUGCUACACCCCCUUUGCAGACUUCUUUUGCCCAAAAUGAGCCUCCAAAUUACUACCGCAUUGUCCAUGGCACUUUGCCAUUGACCUGGUAAGCCAGUGCCCCAUGGAUGAUGCCACUCUCCAUCCCAGAACAGACGGUGAUGGAGGACUAUUUAUAGGAGUGUUUAUAUGCUAGGGUUGAUGAGUGUGGUGAUUGCUGACAGGUGGCAGUGAUCAAUACUCUGGUGAAUGAGUUUGGAGUAAGGGAGAGACUGUGGAGCCUGGUGAAUCUGUGACCAUGUGAUUCGUAUUCAUUUCAACUUUUUUUUUUUUUUUUUUUUUUUUUUUUUUUAAACUCAUUUAAAAUUCUUAAUUUAUAAUAUGAAUAUAUCAGGAAUAUUAAAUUCAAUUUGAUGGAAUUUUACUAUACAAUUGACAUAUGUAAAUCUUAAGUCUCAUAUUUUUUUUUUUUUUGAGUGUACUAAGUGUUGCAGCUAUUAAAUAUGUAUAAUAAGUUUUAUUAUAUAAAAAAAAAAUAUAUAUAUAUAUAUAUAUAUAUAUAUAUAUAUAUAUAUAUGUAUAUGUAUGUGUGUGUGUGUCUUGGGUCAAAUUAAUCUUGAAAUUAAGUGGUUGCACUGUGUGUUCAUUUCACCUAUAGCUUUCAGUUGUAGAUGUGUGGGUGGACAGCUUCGUUCAAACCAGUCAGCCAUGUUAUUGUUUUGUGUCAUUGUAUUUUCCAGCUGUUGUCAGCUGCUUCUUAUUGAGGACAGAGUGAUUAGCAUUCUGUCAGUUAUCAGACAUGCCAGUGCACCACAGGAGUCACAAGCAAACAAUUAUAUUGCCUGCACCCCUCCACGUAACAGAUCCUUUCAUUCUGGUGGUUCACUGGCGUCCUCUGCUACUGAGAUGAGUGAAGAGGAUUCAAAGAGUGUGACAGCUCAGUGUCUGUUAUCACACUGGCCACACAUGCUGCUGCGUGUAGAAUGACAAGGUCUCGGCCCCUGUUACGUCAGUGCCAGAGACUUUGUUGUCUUUGGCAGAGGUGUGGGAGUGAUUAAUGUCUUCUCUUCAAUCAAUGGACAACUUGGACCAACACAGUCUCUUAGUCCAACCAUUUCCAAGAAGGGAUUUCAGAUUUUCUGUAUUAGAUAUUACAUUAUACAUCAAAUAGUU
This is a long non-coding RNA of Ctenopharyngodon idella (grass carp), 1743 nucleotides long. RefSeq lists it as uncharacterized. NCBI's taxonomy places the organism in Eukaryota, Metazoa, Chordata, Actinopteri, Cypriniformes, Xenocyprididae. The transcript is spliced from 2 exons. The record is from RefSeq and is a predicted model, not a curated record.